RNAcentral lists this ribosomal RNA (305 nucleotides) under uncultured bacterium. Its description in RNAcentral is "bacterial SSU rRNA". It matches the Rfam family "Bacterial small subunit ribosomal RNA", at positions 338 to 635 of the family's 1533-position model. The record is from RNAcentral.
CCUACGGGGGGCAGCAGUGAGGAAUAUUGGGCAAUGGAGGCAACUCUGACCCAGCCAUGCCGCGUGUAUGAAGAAGGCCUUCGGGUUGUAAAGUACUUUCAGCGGGGAGGAAGGGAGUAAAGUUAAUACCUUUGCUCAUUGACGUUACCCGCAGAAGAAGCACCGGCUAACUCCGUGCCAGCAGCCGCGGUAAUACGGAGGGUGCAAGCGUUAAUCGGAAUUACUGGGCGUAAAGCGCACGCAGGCGGUUUGUUAAGUCUGAUGUGAAAUCCCCGGGCUCAACCUGGGAACUGCAUCUGAUACUG